UUUUCAAUAUUGGUCCCUUUGACAUGGAAAUGACCCAUAUAUAUUGCUCUAGUUUCAAUUUUUGAUUGCUAGUGUUCUAUAUUUUUGAGCUCAUCUCUUUUUGUAGUUUCAUAAUAUAUAUAUAGGUUAAUCAGGGAAUUUUUAAAUUUUCAAUUUUCUAAAUAUUUUACUUUAAUUUAUUUACUUACACUUAUUUUAUAGAUUAAAUAAUCUUGAUUAGGUGUCAUGAGUUCUCCCGGUGUCGUCAGAGAUCGAGCAAACUCUGAGAGGGGGGUGAACAAUGCCCAAUUGUUUCGCCGUUCGUUAAGCAAGAUUUUUAGUGCCCUAGAUGAAAGCAAGAAUCUGAGAGGAUCAAUAAGGGAUGACAUUCAAAAGAGUCUAGCUACAAUGUCAACCAUUUUUGAAGGGCUACUUGAGGAAUUUAUCAAAGUAGAUGAGAGAGUGAAAUACUUGC
Molecule: long non-coding RNA, 454 nt
Filed under: Androctonus crassicauda
Lineage: Eukaryota; Metazoa; Arthropoda; Arachnida; Scorpiones; Buthidae
Source: RNAcentral